Molecule: ribosomal RNA, 432 nt
Filed under: uncultured bacterium
Lineage: Bacteria
Description: bacterial SSU rRNA
Rfam family: Bacterial small subunit ribosomal RNA
Source: RNAcentral
CAGUAGGGAAUAUUGGUCAAUGGGGGCAACCCUGAACCAGCCAUGCCGCGUGUAGGAAGAAGGCGUUCUGCGUUGUAAACUACUUUUGAUUGGGAACAAAUGACUCUUGCGAGAGUAGCUGAGUGUACCAAUAGAAUAAGCCACGGCUAACUACGUGCCAGCAGCCGCGGUAAUACGUAGGUGGCAAGCGUUGUCCGGAUUUAUUGGGUUUAAAGGGUGCGUAGGCGGCUUGAUAAGUCAGUGGUGAAAGCCGAUCGCUUAACGAUCGAACUGCCAUUGAUACUGCCAGGCUUGAGUAUAGUUGAGGUAGGCGGAAUUGACAGUGUAGCGGUGAAAUGCAUAGAUAUUGUCAAGAACACCAAUUGCGAAGGCAGCUUACUAAAGUAUAACUGACGCUGAGGCACGAAAGUGCGGGGAUCAAACAGGAUUAGA